GGUCAAGUGAAGAAGCGCAUACGGUGGAUGCCUUGGCAGUCAGAGGCGAUGAAAGACGUGGUAGCCUGCGAAAAGCUUCGGGGAGUCGGCAAACAGACUUUGAUCCGGAGAUGUCUGAAUGGGGGAACCCAGCCAUCAUAAGAUGGUUAUCUUGUACUGAAUACAUAGGUGCAAGAGGCGAACCAGGGGAACUGAAACAUCUAAGUACCCUGAGGAAAAGAAAUCAACCGAGAUUCCCUUAGUAGUGGCGAGCGAACGGGGACUAGCCCUUAAGUGGCUUUGAGAUUAGCGGAACGCUCUGGAAAGUGCGGCCAUAGUGGGUGAUAGCCCUGUACGCGAAAGUCUCUUAGUCAUGAAAUCGAGUAGGACGGAGCACGAGAAACUUUGUCUGAAUAUGGGGGGACCAUCCUCCAAGGCUAAAUACUACUGACUGACCGAUAGUGAACUAGUACCGUGAGGGAAAGGCGAAAAGAACCCCGGAGAGGGGAGUGAAAUAGAUCCUGAAACCGUAUGCGUACAAGCAGUGGGAGCAGACUUUGUUCUGUGACUGCGUACCUUUUGUAUAAUGGGUCAGCGACUUAUUUUCAGUGGCGAGCUUAACCGAAUAGGGGAGGCGUAGCGAAAGCGAGUCUUAAUAGGGCGUCUAGUCGCUGGGAAUAGACCCGAAACCGGGCGAUCUAUCCAUGGGCAGGUUGAAGGUUAGGUAACACUGACUGGAGGACCGAACCGACUACCGUUGAAAAGUUAGCGGAUGACCUGUGGAUCGGAGUGAAAGGCUAAUCAAGCUCGGAGAUAGCUGGUUCUCCUCGAAAGCUAUUUAGGUAGCGCCUCAUGUAUCACUGUAGGGGGUAGAGCACUGUUUCGGCUAGGGGGUCAUCCCGACUUACCAAACCGAUGCAAACUCCGAAUACCUACAAGUGCCGAGCAUGGGAGACACACGGCGGGUGCUAACGUCCGUCGUGAAAAGGGAAACAACCCAGACCGUCAGCUAAGGUCCCAAAGUUAUGGUUAAGUGGGAAACGAUGUGGGAAGGCUUAGACAGCUAGGAGGUUGGCUUAGAAGCAGCCACCCUUUAAAGAAAGCGUAAUAGCUCACUAGUCGAGUCGGCCUGCGCGGAAGAUGUAACGGGGCUCAAACCAUACACCGAAGCUACGGGUAUCACGUAAGUGAUGCGGUAGAGGAGCGUUCUGUAAGCCUGUGAAGGUGAGUUGAGAAGCUUGCUGGAGGUAUCAGAAGUGCGAAUGCUGACAUGAGUAACGACAAUGGGUGUGAAAAACACCCACGCCGAAAGACCAAGGUUUCCUGCGCAACGUUAAUCGACGCAGGGUUAGUCGGUCCCUAAGGCGAGGCUGAAAAGCGUAGUCGAUGGAAAACAGGUUAAUAUUCCUGUACUUCUGGUUAUUGCGAUGGAGGGACGGAGAAGGCUAGGCCAGCUUGGCGUUGGUUGUCCAAGUUUAAGGUGGUAGGCUGGAAUCUUAGGUAAAUCCGGGAUUCCAAGGCCGAGAGCUGAUGACGAGUUGCCUUUAGGCGACGAAGUGGUUGAUGCCAUGCUUCCAAGAAAAGCUUCUAAGCUUCAGAUAACCAGGAACCGUACCCCAAACCGACACAGGUGGUUGGGUAGAGAAUACCAAGGCGCUUGAGAGAACUCGGGUGAAGGAACUAGGCAAAAUGGCACCGUAACUUCGGGAGAAGGUGCGCCGGUGAGGGUGAAGUACUUGCUACGUAAGCCCACGCCGGUCGAAGAUACCAGGCCGCUGCGACUGUUUAUUAAAAACACAGCACUCUGCAAACACGAAAGUGGACGUAUAGGGUGUGACGCCUGCCCGGUGCCGGAAGGUUAAUUGAUGGGGUUAGCUAACGCGAAGCUCUUGAUCGAAGCCCCGGUAAACGGCGGCCGUAACUAUAACGGUCCUAAGGUAGCGAAAUUCCUUGUCGGGUAAGUUCCGACCUGCACGAAUGGCGUAACGAUGGCGGCGCUGUCUCCACCCGAGACUCAGUGAAAUUGAAAUCGCUGUGAAGAUGCAGUGUAUCCGCGGCUAGACGGAAAGACCCCGUGAACCUUUACUAUAGCUUUGCACUGGACUUUGAAUUUGCUUGUGUAGGAUAGGUGGGAGGCUUUGAAGCGUGGACGCCAGUUCGCGUGGAGCCAUCCUUGAAAUACCACCCUGGCAACUUUGAGGUUCUAACUCAGGUCCGUUAUCCGGAUCGAGGACAGUGUAUGGUGGGUAGUUUGACUGGGGCGGUCUCCUCCUAAAGAGUAACGGAGGAGUACGAAGGUGCGCUCAGACCGGUCGGAAAUCGGUCGUAGAGUAUAAAGGCAAAAGCGCGCUUGACUGCGAGACAGACACGUCGAGCAGGUACGAAAGUAGGUCUUAGUGAUCCGGUGGUUCUGUAUGGAAGGGCCAUCGCUCAACGGAUAAAAGGUACUCCGGGGAUAACAGGCUGAUACCGCCCAAGAGUUCAUAUCGACGGCGGUGUUUGGCACCUCGAUGUCGGCUCAUCACAUCCUGGGGCUGAAGCCGGUCCCAAGGGUAUGGCUGUUCGCCAUUUAAAGUGGUACGCGAGCUGGGUUUAGAACGUCGUGAGACAGUUCGGUCCCUAUCUGCCGUGGACGUUUGAGAUUUGAGAGGGGCUGCUCCUAGUACGAGAGGACCGGAGUGGACGAACCUCUGGUGUUCCGGUUGUCACGCCAGUGGCAUUGCCGGGUAGCUAUGUUCGGGAAAGAUAACCGCUGAAAGCAUCUAAGCGGGAAACUUGCCUCAAGAUGAGAUCUCACUGGAACCUUGAGUUCCCUGAAGGGCCGUCGAAGACUACGACGUUGAUAGGUUGGGUGUGUAAGCGCUGUGAGGCGUUGAGCUAACCAAUACUAAUUGCCCGUGAGGCUUGACCAU
Molecule: ribosomal RNA, 2891 nt
Filed under: Pseudomonas sp. B21-021
Lineage: Bacteria; Pseudomonadati; Pseudomonadota; Gammaproteobacteria; Pseudomonadales; Pseudomonadaceae
Description: 23S ribosomal RNA
Rfam family: Bacterial large subunit ribosomal RNA
Source: RNAcentral